Molecule: long non-coding RNA, 297 nt
Organism: Eriocheir sinensis (Chinese mitten crab)
Lineage: Eukaryota; Metazoa; Arthropoda; Malacostraca; Decapoda; Varunidae
Exons: 3
Source: RefSeq, a predicted model, not a curated record
CUGAUGCCUGCGCCCUCACCACUCCCUGUGAAGGACACCCAGCUGACCCAACCCUCCUCGUGUGCCCCUGAGAGCUCCCUGCAGCACAGCGAGUCUCUUCUUGGAUGGCUCAGAGGCACAGAAGAUGUAGCCAGACUUGCCGGCCAAACCCGAGGGUGUGUGUUGAUGCUGGGACCAAGAAGAAGAAGAAGAAGAAGAGGAGGAGAAGGAAGAAGAUGAUAAUGGCAACAGAAGAUCAGAAGAAGAGGAGGAGGAAGAAUGGAAGAAUGCACACACACACACACACACAUGACAAAG